Non-coding RNA from Potamilus streckersoni, 73 nucleotides. NCBI's taxonomy places the organism in Eukaryota, Metazoa, Mollusca, Bivalvia, Unionida, Unionidae. The record is from the annotation of a GenBank genome assembly.
GUUCCGGUGGCAUAGUGGUUAGAACGUCCGCCUCGGAUGCGUGAGAGCGAGGGUUCGAGCCCCAAUCGAAGCG